RNAcentral lists this ribosomal RNA (1312 nucleotides) under metagenome. Its description in RNAcentral is "SSU rRNA". It matches the Rfam family "Eukaryotic small subunit ribosomal RNA", at positions 44 to 1321 of the family's 1831-position model. The record is from RNAcentral.
UUAAGCCAUGCAUGUCUAAGUAUAAGCGAACUUAUACAGUGAAACUGCGGAUGGCUCAUUAAAACAGUUUGAAUUUAUUUGAUGAAUGUAUGAGAAUACUACUUGGAUAACCGUAGUAAUUCUAGAGCUAAUACAUGCAACGACGCCCGACCGUUUCACUACGGAAGGGCUGUAUUUAUUGGAUACCAAAACCAUCCUUCCCUCGGGAAGUUUUGUUUGAUGAUUCACAACAACUGAUCGGAUCGCCACUGUGGUGGCGACAGGUCAUUCAACAUUCUGCCCUAUCAGCUUUCGAUGGUUGUGUAGUGGACAACCUUGGCCAUAACGGGUAACGGAGAAUCAGGGUUCGAUUCCGGAGAAGGAGCUUGAGAAUUGGCUACUACAUCUAAGGAAGGCAGCAGGCGCGCAAAUUACCCAAUCCCGAUUCGGGGAGGUAGUGACAAAAAAUAACAAUACCGGGCCUUUUUGGGCUUGGUAAUUGGAAUGAGGGAGAGUUAAACGGACCAUCGAGUAUCCAUUGGAGGGCAAGUCUGGUGCCAGCAGCUGCGGUAAUACCAGCUCCAAUAGCGUAUAUUAAAGUUGUUGCAGUUAAAAAGCUCGUAGUUGGACUUGUGUGCGCUGUCCGCGGGUGGCCUGCGCCCAAAAGGGCGUUUCGGUUCGGCCCCGGUGGCGCCUUGAAAUCUGCAGCUGGGGGGACGUUGGCCUUAACUGGUCGGCGACCGCACGCCGGCUGCUCUGUUACUGUGAGAAAAUUAGAGUGUUCAAGGCAGGCAUUGGGUGCAAUUGAAUACAUUAGCAUGGAAUAAUAAAAUAUGGCUCCUGCCGUAUUUUGUUGGUUUUGACUGGUGGGAGUAAUGAUUGAUAGGGACGGUUGGGGGUGCUAGUAUUGAGCGGCCAGAGGUGAAAUUCAUGGAUUCGCUCAAGACUAACUUAUGCGAAAGCAUUCACCAAGGACGUCCUCUUUAAUCAAGAACGAAAGUUGGGGGAUCGAAGACGAUCAGAUACCGUCGUAGUCUCAACCAUAAACUAUGUCGACUUGGGAUCGGCGGUAGUUUUUUCAUUAAGACACUGUCGGGACCACGGGAGAAAUCAAAGUGUCUGGACUCUGGGGGAAGUAUGGUCGCAAGGCUGAAACUUGAAGGAAUUGACGGAAGGGCACCACCAGGAGUGGAGCCUGCGGCUUAAUUUGACCCAACACGGGGAAACUUACCAGGUCCAGAGAUGUAGAGGAUUGACAGAUUGAAGCUCUUUCUUGAUCACUUCGGUGGUGGUGCAUGGCCGUUCUUAGUUGGUGGAGUGAUUUGUCUGGUUA